GAUUUUGUUAGAUAAAUAAUUAAAAUAGUGUAAUUUUUUGAAAUAUUUUAUAAAUUUACUGUUUUAAAAAUAAUGUGAUAUUCAUAGAAACAAAAUUUAAUUUUUUUGCUCUUAAGUGUUAUUUUUUUUGGAAAUAUACAGUUUGGUGUUAUCAUAGGAUAUUUUUCUUAUGAUUUUAUGUUUGAUAUUUUUCUUUGUUUUGGUUCGUUAUUUGUUUUUUUUUUACGUUGGUUCAUUAUUUUUUUUUAAUUAAAAUAUUUAAAUUAGUUAUAAAUAUGAUAUAUAAUAAAUAUAAUCAAAAUAUAAUUAAUGUUUAGUUAAGCUGAUAAAUAAUGUUUUGGUUAUAUUAUUAUAUGAAUUAAUACAAUUUAAAUUAACAUAUUUGAAUCAUUAUUAAUGUAAUAUGAAAAAUAUUUAAAUCACUGUUUGAAUAAGAUAACAAAAAUACAUAAAUGUAUAAGUGACAUUUGUAAUACGGUAUAGUGACCAGA
RNAcentral lists this long non-coding RNA (491 nucleotides) under Brassica rapa (field mustard). RNAcentral's name for it is "long non-coding RNA (BRAP_LNC006780)". Lineage: Eukaryota; Viridiplantae; Streptophyta; Magnoliopsida; Brassicales; Brassicaceae. The record is from RNAcentral.